Hibiscus syriacus is the source of this 156-nucleotide small nuclear RNA. RefSeq annotates it as U11 spliceosomal RNA. Lineage: Eukaryota; Viridiplantae; Streptophyta; Magnoliopsida; Malvales; Malvaceae. The record is from RefSeq and is a predicted model, not a curated record. The transcript has a single exon.
AAAAAGGGUCGGUUGGCUAAAUAUGCCACGCCCACCCUCGUCUGGUGGGUGCUGUAUGGCUAUCAAGACAUAUGGCCGACAUAAUUUGUGGGAACACCUGGAGCUGGUAAACUUAACCCGAAUCCGAUUAUCCGAAUCGAUUUAUCCAAUUCAAUA